This 475-nucleotide ribosomal RNA is filed under the name Streptococcus sp. oral taxon 064. RNAcentral describes it as "bacterial SSU rRNA". It matches the Rfam family "Bacterial small subunit ribosomal RNA", at positions 28 to 485 of the family's 1533-position model. Lineage: Bacteria; Bacillati; Bacillota; Bacilli; Lactobacillales; Streptococcaceae. The record is from RNAcentral.
GACGAACGCUGGCGGCGUGCCUAAUACAUGCAAGUAGAACGCUGAAGAGAGGAGCUUGCUCUUCUUGGAUGAGUUGCGAACGGGUGAGUAACGCGUAGGUAACCUGCCUGGUAGCGGGGGAUAACUAUUGGAAACGAUAGCUAAUACCGCAUAAUAGUAGAUGUUGCAUGACAUUUGCUUAAAAGGUGCAAUUGCAUCACUACCAGAUGGACCUGCGUUGUAUUAGCUAGUUGGUGAGGUAACGGCUCACCAAGGCAACGAUACAUAGCCGACCUGAGAGGGUGAUCGGCCACACUGGGACUGAGACACGGCCCAGACUCCUACGGGAGGCAGCAGUAGGGAAUCUUCGGCAAUGGACGGAAGUCUGACCGAGCAACGCCGCGUGAGUGAAGAAGGUUUUCGGAUCGUAAAGCUCUGUUGUAAGAGAAGAACGAGUGUGAGAGUGGAAAGUUCACACUGUGACGGGUAUCUACCA